UAAUGUCUGGGAAACGUGCCUGAUGGAGGGGGAUAACUACUGGAAACGGUAGCUAAUACCGCAUAAUGUCGCAAGAACAAGGUGGGGGACCUUCGGGCCUCAUGCCAUCAGAUGUGCCCAGAUGGGAUUAGCUAGUAGGUGGGGUAACGGCUCACCUAGGCGACGAUCCCUAGCUGGUCUGAGAGGAUGACCAGCCACACUGGAACUGAGACACGGUCCAG
This 221-nucleotide ribosomal RNA is filed under the name uncultured bacterium. Its description in RNAcentral is "partial 16S ribosomal RNA". It matches the Rfam family "Bacterial small subunit ribosomal RNA", at positions 111 to 334 of the family's 1533-position model. The record is from RNAcentral.